Molecule: ribosomal RNA, 252 nt
Filed under: uncultured bacterium
Lineage: Bacteria
Description: partial 16S ribosomal RNA
Rfam family: Bacterial small subunit ribosomal RNA
Source: RNAcentral
UACGGAGGAUGCGAGCGUUAUCCGGAUUUAUUGGGUUUAAAGGGUGCGCAGGCGGAUUUUUAAGUCAGCGGUCAAAUCGUGGGGCUCAACCCCAUCCAGCCGUUGAAACUGGGGAUCUAGAGUGUGCGAGAGGUAUGCGGAAUGCGUGGUGUAGCGGUGAAAUGCAUAGAUAUCACGCAGAACCCCGAUUGCGAAGGCAGCAUACCGGUGCACGACUGACGCUCAGGCACGAAAGCGUGGGUAUCGAACAGG